AAAGGGUGCGUAGGCGGCCUGUUAAGUCAGGGGUGAAAGACGGUAGCUCAACUAUCGCAGUGCCCUUGAUACUGAUGGGCUUGAAUGGACUAGAGGUAGGCGGAAUGAGACAAGUAGCGGUGAAAUGCAUAGAUAUGUCUCAGAACACCGAUUGCGAAGGCAGCUUACUAUGGUCUUAUUGACGCUGAGGCACGAAAGCGUGGGGAUCAAACAGGAUUAGAUACCCUAGA
This 230-nucleotide ribosomal RNA is filed under the name uncultured bacterium. RNAcentral describes it as "partial 16S ribosomal RNA". It matches the Rfam family "Bacterial small subunit ribosomal RNA", at positions 562 to 791 of the family's 1533-position model. The record is from RNAcentral.